GAUAAAAUGGCUGAGAUUAAGCGAUAAAUUGUAAAUUUAUUAACGAAAUUGUUUUCUUUUAUCA
Molecule: transfer RNA, 64 nt
Filed under: Ochthebius puncticollis
Lineage: Eukaryota; Metazoa; Arthropoda; Insecta; Coleoptera; Hydraenidae
Description: tRNA-Tyr
Source: RNAcentral